This 398-nucleotide small nucleolar RNA is filed under the name Saccharomycodes ludwigii. RNAcentral's name for it is "Fungi_U3". It matches the Rfam family "Fungal small nucleolar RNA U3". From Rfam's summary of the family: Small nucleolar RNAs (snoRNAs) are involved in the processing and modification of rRNA in the nucleolus. There are two main classes of snoRNAs: the box C/D class, and the box H/ACA class. U3 snoRNA is a member of the box C/D class. Lineage: Eukaryota; Fungi; Ascomycota; Saccharomycetes; Saccharomycodales; Saccharomycodaceae. The record is from RNAcentral.
UAACACCUUCAACAGUAGGAUCAUUUCUAUAGGAAUCGUCACUCUUUGACUCUUCACAAGAGCCACUGAAUCCAACUUGGAAGAUGAGUAUCAUUACCUUUGUGCCCCAGAGUGAGAAUUUUUCUUUGGUUAUCGGAUGUUACCCUUCUUCGGAAGGCCAAGGUAGCAUGGAUGCAAGUCCCGAUUUUAAUAAGUUUGAACUCUGCAACUCUUAGCAGUUCGGAUUCAUCUUAUAGCCGAUUUCCAGUUACAUUUUAACGUUUUUUCUGCCUGUGUUUUUGGGAUUAAAAAUUUUUUUUCUCUAAAAAAUGGCGCGAUGAUCUUUACCCAGCCUAUGUACUUCUUUUAUAAGAUGGGAUAAGCAUUAUUGGGUGGGUGCAAAUGGCAGUCUGACAAGU